RNAcentral lists this unclassified non-coding RNA (394 nucleotides) under soil metagenome. RNAcentral describes it as "partial contains 5.8S ribosomal RNA, internal transcribed spacer 2, and large subunit ribosomal RNA". The stretch from base 1 to 121 matches the Rfam family "5.8S ribosomal RNA", at positions 35 to 154 of the family's 154-position model. The record is from RNAcentral.
GAUGAAGAACGUAGCGAACGUGCGAAACGUAAUGUGAAUUGCAGAAUUCAGUGAAUCAUCGAAUCUUUGAACGCAUCUUGCGCUCCUUGGUAUUCCGAGGAGCAUGCCUGUUUGAGUGUCGUGAAUACUCUCAACUUCAACCCUUUUUUCGGAAAGGGAGGAAGGUUGGACUUGGGUGUUUGUUGAAGUGCGAGCUUCGACUCAUCCUAAAUGCAUUAGCGAUCUGCCUCGAUCACACACAAUGUGAUAAUUAAAACUAAAGCAUUGUUUAAUGAUCAAGUCGAGACUGCUUCUAACUGUCGCAAGACAAUAACGUGCAUACAUUUGUGCAUGUCAUUUGACCUCAAAUCAGGUAGGACUACCCGCUGAACUUAAGCAUAUCAAUAGCGGAGGA